Molecule: non-coding RNA, 69 nt
Organism: Podarcis lilfordi (Lilford's wall lizard)
Lineage: Eukaryota; Metazoa; Chordata; Lepidosauria; Squamata; Lacertidae
Source: the annotation of a GenBank genome assembly
ACAUAGUUCAGUUGGUAGAGCAUGGGACUCUUAAUCUCAGGGUUGUGAGUUUGAGCCCCAUGUUGGGUA